This 467-nucleotide ribosomal RNA is filed under the name uncultured bacterium. RNAcentral's name for it is "partial 16S ribosomal RNA". It matches the Rfam family "Bacterial small subunit ribosomal RNA", at positions 28 to 507 of the family's 1533-position model. The record is from RNAcentral.
GAUGAACGCUGGCGGCGUGCUUAACACAUGCAAGUCGAACGGAAAGGCCCAAGCUUGCUUGGGUACUCGAGUGGCGAACGGGUGAGUAACACGUGGGUGAUCUGCCCUGCACUUCGGGAUAAGCCUGGGAAACUGGGUCUAAUACCGGAUAGGACCACUUCUUGGAUGUUGUGGUGGAGAGUUUUUUCGGUGUGGGGUGAGCUCGCGGCCUAUCAGCUUGUUGGUGGGGUAAUGGCCUACCAAGGCGUCGACGGGUAGCCGGGCUGAGAGGGUGUACGGCGACAUUGGGACUUAGGUAAGGCCCAGACGCCGACGGGAGGCAGCAGGGGGGAAUAUUGAACAAUGGGGGCAAGGCUGAUGCAGCGAGGCCGCGGGGGGGAAGACGGCCUUCGGGGUGUAAAAGCCUUUCGCUAGGGACGAAGCGUUUUGUGACGGUACCUGGAGAAGAAGCACCGGCUAACUACGUG